UCAGCCGGCCGGGCAGCCGCUCCGGAUCCUUUCGGAUCCGGGGAGGAAAGUCCGGGCUCCAUGGAGAGACGGUGCCGGAUAACGUCCGGCGGGGGCGACCCCAGGGACAGUGCCACAGAGAGCAGACCGCCCCGGACUCGUCCGGGGUGAGGGUGAAAGGGUGCGGUAAGAGCGCACCGCGGACGCGGCAACGCGGACGGCACGGCAAACCCCACCGGGAGCAAAACCGAAUAGGGGCGGCGCGUCCCCCGUGAGGGGGGCAGGCCCGCUCUCCAGGCCAGUCGCCCGGGUUGGUUGCUCGAGGCGGUCGGCAACGGCCGUCCCAGAGGAAUGGCUGCCACGCCGGAAGGUGCGAGCCUUCCGGCCCUACAGAACCCGGCUUACAGGCCGGCUGAUCCA
This 399-nucleotide RNase P RNA is filed under the name Methylobacterium persicinum. RNAcentral describes it as "RNase P class A". It matches the Rfam family "Bacterial RNase P class A". Rfam says of the family: Ribonuclease P (RNase P) is a ubiquitous endoribonuclease, found in archaea, bacteria and eukarya as well as chloroplasts and mitochondria. Its best characterised activity is the generation of mature 5'-ends of tRNAs by cleaving the 5'-leader elements of precursor-tRNAs. Lineage: Bacteria; Pseudomonadati; Pseudomonadota; Alphaproteobacteria; Hyphomicrobiales; Methylobacteriaceae. The record is from RNAcentral.